AUAAAGAUGGCAGAUGAAG
RNAcentral lists this transfer RNA (19 nucleotides) under Bursina gnorima. RNAcentral describes it as "partial tRNA-Leu". RNAcentral also lists the same sequence under 1 other name. The record is from RNAcentral. Lineage: Eukaryota; Metazoa; Mollusca; Gastropoda; Littorinimorpha; Bursidae.